GAGUGAAACUCCGUCUCAAAAAAAAAAAAAAAAAGACCGAUCUUUCCAUUGUACCAACUGCCUUGUUGGAUUCCCUUACCUCCUGAAAGGUAGGAUUUGCUCUGAUUUGUUCUGUUGCCCUUUGCAAAUUUCCUUUGCUGUCAGUUUGUUAAAGGUAUGUUGCUACCUUCUCAAAUAUGUGUGUUGAAGAUUUUAAAAGAUUAGAGGUUAGCCUUCAGGACAUCUGUUUAUUUACUUACUUUGACAAUUCCUACUGCAGAGCAGGACAUUUAAAAGACAAGAAAGGCUUUAUUUCUGCCUUGUCUCUCUCCACGUACGCAUUCUGACAGUAUGGCAAAGUUGGAAGUAUAUAAGUUUUGGAAGGAGGCCUGAGUUAAAAAUACCAGUGCUUUGUAAUAUGGACAUGAUUUGAGUCGUGAUUGAAUAAAAACAAUUUUAAAAUGUGAGACAUUUGUGAAAUUUGAACCUAAUUGAAUAUCUAAUAUCAAGCAGUCACUAAGUUUUUUCAAGUAUAAUAAUGUGGGUAGGUUUAAAAAAAGGCCUUAUCUUUUAGAAAUACAUAUGGAAAUAUUUGUGGAUAAAAUGUUGGGCUAUCUGGUAGUUGCUUACAAAAGUAGUGGGGAGCACAUGGGGUGUGGAUUGGAUGGUUGUCGGGACAGGAUGAUAAGUACAUGAUGACUCUGUCUGCAACUUAUAUAUGAUCGAAAUUCUCCCUAAAAUUUAGUUCUCCCUAGAAGUAAAAAAGAAAAAAAAAAUCUCACUGUUGGUACUUUGUAACUGUGUAAAGUUAGGUAAUGUACUCAACCUCUGUGAGCUUCCAUUUCCUUAUCUUUAAAACUGGAAUAAUUAUAACAAUGUUGCAGGUUUGCUGAAAAUUACAUGAAAACAUCUGGCCUAAAGGUUGAUGUUAGUAGGUGCUCAAUCAAUCGUUGCUGUUUUGUUGUUACUGUUUUAGGAGACUUGGAAAACAUUAAAUCAGUUGUUAUCUCUGAGCCUGGGAGUCCAUGUUUCCUCAGACUGGGCUACAUCUCCACUACUAAUAGGGUAGUUCUUACUGUGUUUUCCAAGAGCAUUUGCCUCACCCUUGCUUUCUCCUUCUCCAAAGCUACCUUAAAUCAAGGAAGGUUUAUUACAAAGGAAUUUGAGAGUCCAUUAAACAGUAUCAAGAGAUGCAGGUUGGUCUUUUAGUGAAGCAGAACUGGAAUGCUUCAGCAGCCAAGGUUCUCACCAGAAAAUACAGAACUUCUUACAACUUUAGAAUUACUCUACUUAUAGCUCAGCAUUUACUGGAAGGUAUUUGAACAUCUUGGCAAUGCACUGAUUUAUGAUCCUACCAACUAUAAGGUAUUGCAGGCUGUGAAGGCUCUGGCCUUCUUAAGAGAUGACCCCACUGCUCCUAGAGAUGAUCUGACCCUGGAAAGCAAAGGAAUAGCUUCUUCAGUUUGAAUACCUGAAAAAUAGAAAAAAUAUAAAUAAAAGGCCAUCAGCUGCCUGAAAUGAGGCAACUUCUUGGCACCCUUCGAUUGGAAGAUUCUGUAUAAUGUGGGCCUUGUCCAUUUGACCAUGCAGCAGUAUGCAUCAGCUUUUCAUUUUCUCAGUGCGGCCACCAACUUCAAGCCAAAGAUGGGGGAGCUCUAUAUGCUUUUGGCAGGUAAGAAACAUUUAUGUGGAAAACUCUCUCUGCCAUUUGUAAUGAGGGAAAAAUGGAUUCAAAUCAUAGGAGAUCACUGGAUGUCUUAUAGGAGCCAUUUUCUUGGAGAUCCUAUAGGAAUCUGGAUUACUCUUCUGGAGCUUAAAGAAAUAACAAAUGAUGACAAAGGAACUUGAUUGUUUCUAACUUGAUGGAGUUCCACUCAAAGACCAACAGGUUAAAUAAAGAUAAUCCCUCGUUCACCUUUUACCAAUUUUUUCCCCUUGCUGUGACAAUUCAUUUAUAUAUAUAUUGAGUCCAACUAAGUUCCAGACAGCAAGUGUUAAGAGCUUGGGUUUUAGGUGGGGAACCUGCUUCUCCUGUUUACUAUAUGUACCUAGGCCUAGUGUGAGGAUUGCAUGAUUAAACACUCAAUAAAUAAUAGUGAUUUUGUUGAAACACUGAUUUUUGAAAACUUGGUUUUAUUGUGGUUAUAUAACUGGUCUAUUAUUAUCAAUAUUGUUAUUAUAAUUGGGAAGUCAAGCUACCUUAUGUUGAAACCCUUACCUCUUCUGAGCAUGUUGUGUAGAAUGCCAUUCUCUUCCUGAAACUCAAUUUUAUACCAUGCAAAUACUAAAAUUGAUCAUGAAAAUAAGUUAGAAUUAAAAACUUUAAAAAUUAUACAAAGCCAUUUAAUUUUAAAUUACUGACUAAAUAGUCUUCCUGUGAAAUAUUUUCUCCUAUACAUUUACUUACCAAAUGUAAGACCCAAAGCAGAUUUCCAUGUCCUCAUUUGGCAGUGGUCUUCCAGUGGCUUUUUGUUCAUUACUGUGGGGUUCUUAUUUAUAAGCGAAAGCUUGUGAAAGCAGUAGAGGCAUGGUUAUUUGAGAGUUGCCUGCAUACAGAAAUAACUUUUUU
Long non-coding RNA from Sapajus apella (tufted capuchin), 2548 nucleotides. RefSeq lists it as uncharacterized. The transcript is spliced from 4 exons. The record is from RefSeq and is a predicted model, not a curated record. Lineage: Eukaryota; Metazoa; Chordata; Mammalia; Primates; Cebidae.